This 253-nucleotide ribosomal RNA is filed under the name uncultured bacterium. RNAcentral describes it as "partial 16S ribosomal RNA". It matches the Rfam family "Bacterial small subunit ribosomal RNA", at positions 524 to 776 of the family's 1533-position model. The record is from RNAcentral.
CACGUAGGGUGCGAGCGUUGUCCGGAAUCAUUGGGCGUAAAGCGCGUGUAGGCGGUUCGGUAAGUCUGCUGUGAAAGUCCAGGGCUCAACCCUGGGAUGCCGGUGGAUACUGCUGAACUAGAGUGCGGAAGAGGCGAGUGGAAUUCCCGGUGUAGCGGUGAAAUGCGCAGAUAUCGGGAGGAACACCAAUUGCGAAGGCAGCUCGCUGGGACGUUACUGACGCUGAGACGCGAAAGCGUGGGGAGCAAACAGG